Molecule: ribosomal RNA, 459 nt
Filed under: uncultured bacterium
Lineage: Bacteria
Description: partial 16S ribosomal RNA
Rfam family: Bacterial small subunit ribosomal RNA
Source: RNAcentral
CCUACGGGAGGCAGCAGUGAGGAAUAUUGGUCAAUGGGCGCGAGUCUGAACCAGCCAAGUCGCGUGAGGGAAGACGGUCCUAUGGAUUGUAAACCUCUUUUGUCGGGGAGCAAAAGACGCCACGCGUGGCGUUCCGAGAGUACCCGAAGAAAAAGCAUCGGCUAACUCCGUGCCAGCAGCCGCGGUAAUACGGAGGAUGCGAGCGUUAUCCGGAUUUAUUGGGUUUAAAGGGUGCGCAGGCGGAAGAUCAAGUCAGCGGUAAAAUUGAGAGGCUCAACCUCUUCGAGCCGUUGAAACUGGUUUUCUUGAGUGAACGAGAAGUAUGCGGAAUGCGUGGUGUAGCGGUGAAAUGCAUAGAUAUCACGCAGAACUCCGAUUGCGAAGGCAGCAUACCGGCGCUCAACUGACGCUCAUGCACGAAAGUGUGGGUAUCGAACAGGAUUAGAUACCCUUGUAGUC